Molecule: ribosomal RNA, 497 nt
Filed under: uncultured bacterium
Lineage: Bacteria
Description: partial 16S ribosomal RNA
Rfam family: Bacterial small subunit ribosomal RNA
Source: RNAcentral
GAUGAACGCUGGCGGCGUGCCUAAUACAUGCAAGUCGAGCGAACAGACGAGGAGCUUGCUCCUCUGACGUUAGCGGCGGACGGGUGAGUAACACGUGGAUAACCUACCUAUAAGACUGGGAUAACUUCGGGAAACCGGAGCUAAUACCGGAUAAUAUAUUGAACCGCAUGGUUCAAUAGUGAAAGACGGUUUUGCUGUCACUUAUAGAUGGAUCCGCGCCGCAUUAGCUAGUUGGUAAGGUAACGGCUUACCAAGGCAACGAUGCGUAGCCGACCUGAGAGGGUGAUCGGCCACACUGGAACUGAGACACGGUCCAGACUCCUACGGGAGGCAGCAGUAGGGAAACUUCCGCAAUGGGCGAAAGCCUGACGGAGCAACGCCGCGUGAGUGAUGAAGGUCUUCGGAUCGUAAAACUCUGUUAUUAGGGAAGAGCAAAUGUGUAAGUAACUAUGCACGUCUUGACGGUACCUAAUCAGAAAGCCACGGCUAACUACGUG